UCCCUGGUGGCUUAGAUGGUAAAGAACAUGCCUGCAAUGCAGGAGACCUGGGUUUGAUCCCUGGGUGGGGAA
Molecule: transfer RNA, 72 nt
Filed under: Odocoileus virginianus texanus
Lineage: Eukaryota; Metazoa; Chordata; Mammalia; Artiodactyla; Cervidae
Also listed under: 9 other names
Rfam family: tRNA
About the family: Transfer RNA (tRNA) molecules are approximately 80 nucleotides in length. Their secondary structure includes four short double-helical elements and three loops (D, anti-codon, and T loops).
Source: Rfam by way of RNAcentral